AGAGUUUGAUCCUGGCUCAGGACGAACGCUGGCGGCGUGCUUAACACAUGCAAGUCGAGCGAUGAGAUCACUUCGGUGAAGGAUUAGCGGCGAACGGGUGAGGAACACGUGAAGAAUCUGCCUUCAACUCUGGGAUGACUCCGGGAAACCGGGGCUAAUACCGGAUAUGAGCCUUGAUCGCAUGAUCGGGGCUGGAAAGUUUUUCGGUUGAAGAUGACUUCGCGGCCUAUCAGCUUGUUGGUGAGGUAAUGGCUCACCAAGGCGACGACGGGUAGCCGGCCCGAGAGGGCGACCGGCCACACUGGGACUGAGACACGGCCCAGACUCCUACGGGAGGCAGCAGUGGGGAAUAUUGGGCAAUGGAGGAAACUCUGACCCAGCGACGCCGCGUGCGGGAUGAAGGCCUUCGGGUUGUAAACCGCUUUCAGCAGGGAAUAAGCGCAAGUGAAGGUACCUGCAGAAGAAGCACCGGCUAACUAUGUGCCAGCAGCCGCGGUAAUACAUAGGGUGCAAGCGUUGUCCGGAAUUAUUGGGCGUAAAGAGCUCGUAGGUGGUUUGUUACGUCGGUUGUGAAAUUCAGGGGCUCAACCCCUGACUUGCAGCCGAUACGGGCAAGCUAGAGUUUGGUAGGGGAGACUGGAAUUCCUGGUGUAGCGGUGGAAUGCGCAGAUAUCAGGAGGAACACCGAUGGCGAAGGCAGGUCUCUGGGCCAAUACUGACACUGAGGAGCGAAAGCGUGGGGAGCGAACAGGANNAGAUACCCUGGUAGUCCACGCCGUNNNCNNNNNNCGCUAGUUGUGCGAACCUUCCACGGUUUGUGCGACGC
RNAcentral lists this ribosomal RNA (826 nucleotides) under uncultured bacterium. Its description in RNAcentral is "bacterial SSU rRNA". It matches the Rfam family "Bacterial small subunit ribosomal RNA", at positions 8 to 849 of the family's 1533-position model. The record is from RNAcentral.